GCGCUCGUAGCUCAACUGGAUAGAGCACCUGACUUCGGAUCAGGGGGUUGUGGGUUCGAGUCCUACCGAGCGCGC
This 75-nucleotide transfer RNA is filed under the name bacterium. RNAcentral describes it as "tRNA-Arg". It matches the Rfam family "tRNA". Rfam says of the family: Transfer RNA (tRNA) molecules are approximately 80 nucleotides in length. Their secondary structure includes four short double-helical elements and three loops (D, anti-codon, and T loops). Further hydrogen bonds mediate the characteristic L-shaped molecular structure. tRNAs have two regions of fundamental functional importance: the anti-codon, which is responsible for specific mRNA codon recognition, and the 3' end, to which the tRNAs corresponding amino acid is attached (by aminoacyl-tRNA synthetases). tRNAs cope with the degeneracy of the genetic code in two manners: having more than one tRNA (with a specific anti-codon) for a particular amino acid; and 'wobble' base-pairing, i.e. permitting non-standard base-pairing at the 3rd anti-codon position. The record is from RNAcentral.